UACGUAGGGUGCGAGCGUUGUCCGGAAUUACUGGGCGUAAAGAGCUCGUAGGUGGUUUGUCACGUCGUCUGUGAAAUUCCCGGGCUUAACCUCGGGCGUGCAGGCGAUACGGGCAAUACUUGAGUGCUGUAGGGGAGACUGGAAUUCCUGGUGUAGCGGUGAAAUGCGCAGAUAUCAGGAGGAACACCAAUGGCGAAGGCAGGUCUCUGGGCAGUUACUGACGCUGAGGAGCGAAAGCAUGGGUAGCGAACAGGAUUAGAUA
RNAcentral lists this ribosomal RNA (262 nucleotides) under uncultured prokaryote. RNAcentral describes it as "partial 16S ribosomal RNA". It matches the Rfam family "Bacterial small subunit ribosomal RNA", at positions 524 to 784 of the family's 1533-position model. The record is from RNAcentral.